This 804-nucleotide ribosomal RNA is filed under the name uncultured Alphaproteobacteria bacterium. RNAcentral describes it as "bacterial SSU rRNA". It matches the Rfam family "Bacterial small subunit ribosomal RNA", at positions 46 to 896 of the family's 1533-position model. The record is from RNAcentral. Lineage: Bacteria; Pseudomonadati; Pseudomonadota; Alphaproteobacteria.
GCUUAUACAUGCAAGUCGAGCGCCUGUAGCAAUACAGGAGCGGCAGACGGGAGAGUAACACGUGGGAACGUGCCCUUUGGUUCGGAACAACACAGGGAAACUUGUGCUAAUACCGGAUAAGCCCUUACGGGGAAAGAUUUAUCGCCAAAGGAUCGGCCCGCGUCUGAUUAGCUAGUUGGUGGGGUAAUGGCCCACCAAGGCGACGAUCAGUAGCUGGUCUGAGAGGAUGAUCAGCCUCAUUGGGACUGAGACACGGCCCAAACUCCUACGGGAGGCAGCAGUAGGGAAUAUUGGACAAUGGGCGCAAGCCUGAUCCAGCCAUGCCGCGUGAGUGAUGAAGGCCUUAGGGUUGUAAAGCUCUUUCGGCGGGGAAGAUAAUGACGGUACCCGCAUAAGAAGCCCCGGCUAACUUCGUGCCAGCAGCCGCGGUAAUACGAAGGGGGCUAGCGUUGCUCGGAAUCACUGGGCGUAAAGCGCACGUAGGCGGACUCUUAAGUCAGGGGUGAAAUCCUGGAGCUCAACUCCAGAACUGCCUUUGAUACUGGGAGCCUUGAGUUCGGGAGAGGUGAGUGGAACUGCGAGUGUAGAGGUGAAAUUCGUAGAUAUUCGCAAGAACACCAGUGGCGAAGGCGGCUCACUGGCCCGAUACUGACGCUGAGGUGCGAAAGCGUGGGGAGCAAACAGGAUUAGAUACCCUGGUAGUCCACGCUGUAAACGAUGGAUGCUAGCCGUUGGCGGGUUUACUCGUCAGUGGCGCAGCUAACGCAUUAAGCAUCCCGCCUGGGGAGUACGGUCGCAAGAUUA